GAUGGAAAAAUACCUCGAAGAGGAAUUUAUACCGAGGACUGCUGACCCUUUGGUUUGGUGGGAACAAAGAAAGAAAUUGUAUCCGCAUCUAUAUUCUUACAGCCUUAAGCGACUAUGCCUUAUGGCUACAUCAGUUCCUUGCGAACGCCUAUUUUCAAGUGCUGGGGAAAUCAUCCGAAAAAGACGGAUGCUACUAAAACCUAAUAAAGUGGAAAAUCUAAUGUUCCUUCAUAGCAACAUGUAGAUGGAUCACAGAAAUCAAAUAAAUGCAUUAAAAUUACUAUAUUAUCUGUUUGUAAACUCUUUAUUAUUUCUUAUUAUUAUUAUGUAUAAGUGUUUUUGACAUAAAUUGAAUAAAUAAUAUUAAUUUUCAA
Molecule: long non-coding RNA, 374 nt
Organism: Drosophila sechellia
Lineage: Eukaryota; Metazoa; Arthropoda; Insecta; Diptera; Drosophilidae
Exons: 2
Source: RefSeq, a predicted model, not a curated record